GGGGAUGUGGCUUAGUUGGUAGAGCACUUGCCUAGCAUGCAUGCAGGCCUGGGUACCAUCCCCA
Molecule: transfer RNA, 64 nt
Filed under: Neotoma lepida (desert woodrat)
Lineage: Eukaryota; Metazoa; Chordata; Mammalia; Rodentia; Cricetidae
Rfam family: tRNA
About the family: Transfer RNA (tRNA) molecules are approximately 80 nucleotides in length. Their secondary structure includes four short double-helical elements and three loops (D, anti-codon, and T loops).
Source: Rfam by way of RNAcentral